ACAAGCGAACACUAGGACAAGAACCAUAUUUUUUCCCCCAAAUACUGCUGUCCCCAUUUGGUUUUCUGCAGGAUGAACUCUGUUUUGUAGUGUUAUCUUUCUCUUCUAACUUCUCCAGAGUUUCACAACAAGGAGAAGCUGCUGAGUGUCUGAAAGGGUUUGUUUUCACCCGGUCGCUGAACCACACAAAGCUUCUUGGUGUAGCUCCAGCUGGAGCAACCUCUCAGGCUGGAGGACACCAGAGGCACCGUACACAGGACAAGCCCCUGAAGACACCUCUCUGGGCUCUGAGCUGGGUGGGACUGAGCUGUCCCUGGACCCUGGCCAAGAAAGAAGGGAUCAGCAGCAGGGGAUGCUGUUGUCAGAGCUGCUACAGAUCCAGAGCAAGGGAGUAGGUUGCCAGUCACCUUCUAUCUGUCUAUAAUCAGCUAUGGAUCUGCCUGGCCAUACUGUCUUCAGAGAGACCUUCCUUGCAGCCAAGGCAGGACCUACCUGGGCUGGAGGAGGAGAAGGAAUACAUUUUAAUAGAGUCUGGUCUGGGAUGGACUAACUCAAUCCUCAGAUACAAGAAGAGUGAGUGACAGUGGCUGAAACUGAGGUGGUUUAAACCUGACUUCAUGGAUCUAAUUCUGGAAAGAGCUCUACAGCUUUAGUCUUACACUGCUUCCUCAUAGUAUUGUAUUUGUUUUUACAUGCAAUUGAGUACCAACAGGAGAAGAGAGAAAAAAUGCCAAAGGGAACAGUCUGUUUCUCUCUCUGUCAAAAAUGU
Apus apus (common swift) is the source of this 769-nucleotide long non-coding RNA. RefSeq lists it as uncharacterized. The record is from RefSeq and is a predicted model, not a curated record. The transcript is spliced from 4 exons. Lineage: Eukaryota; Metazoa; Chordata; Aves; Apodiformes; Apodidae.